CCCCCCAAACCGAAGCCUCCAUCCAACACGUCCCCGUCCCUCACCGGCAGCGGCAAGCCUCCACCGAGUCCGUCAUCGUCCAUCACCGGCAAGCAUCUUGCAAGUCCAUCCUCAUCACCAUCCGUCGUCGGCAAGAACACAAAGAUUGGCAUGUCCACACCACCAACAGAUAAUGGUGGCCAAAAUGUAGUUGCAUAUUCAGGGACAGGAAGUGUACCUCAAAUGGAUGCAAUGGAGGAGGAGGAGGAUGACUUCGACGAGUCCAUUGAUUACCAUGAGUUUGCAGAUCCUAUUUUUAUUUCAGAUGAAGAAGAAGAUGGUGAUGGAGGGGAUGAAGAGGAAGAUGAUGCUGAAGAGGAGGAAAAUGUGGAAGUUGCAUCUAAAAGAAAACUCACUUCAGUUGUGUGGGCUGAGUUCAAGAGAGUGAAGGUUGCAGGAAAAUGGAAGGCUAAGUGUGUUUAUUGCAAUAAGGAGCUUGGAGGAGCACCAAAGAAUGGGACCAAACAUCUUCAUUACCACUUAGGCAUUUGUGUUUUGAGAAAGAUCAAG
Molecule: ribosomal RNA, 549 nt
Filed under: Triticum aestivum (bread wheat)
Lineage: Eukaryota; Viridiplantae; Streptophyta; Magnoliopsida; Poales; Poaceae
Description: partial small subunit ribosomal RNA
Source: RNAcentral